This is a long non-coding RNA of Homo sapiens (human), 1034 nucleotides long. NCBI's taxonomy places the organism in Eukaryota, Metazoa, Chordata, Mammalia, Primates, Hominidae. The record is from Ensembl.
UGGUAUACAUGGCUGCUGAGAAUGUAUCAAUUAGCUCAGAUACUACUGACUUGACAAGAAACCCUUAUCAUAAGCAGGAUGACAAUGUAUAUUCAAGAAGGUGCUGAGAGAGAAGUUUUUCCAUCAGCCUCAUCUGAAUGAGACAUACUUCCCCAAAGAAAUGCUUAUUUUUCAGCACGUCAACCUCCAUCUUGACAGACGAAGAGGCAAAAACUGGAGUCAUAUUGAGUAGGUCUGAAAUUGUCUACUGUGCUAAGAUCAUGUUCAGUUUGUCAUCUACUUUCCUCAAGAAGAAUCGCCAGCCAUGGAGAAAUAGGAAGAUAGAGAUCAGGGGAAGUUGAGAUUCAGAAGCUCUAAGCAAAGGCAAUGGGUAAGAUCUAGUCCCUUGCCUCUAGAGCAAAUGUCAGGGUGGCCCUCGGAGGCUGAGCCAGUCGCAAAUGUAUGGUCAAGUACCCAAAGGGCUGAAAGGCAAAAAGGAGACCAGUGGCCUCUUCAAAUGGUGCUGAGGAAAAUAUGCACAAGAGCUUGUGCUGACAAUGUCGCAUAGGCUUCAGAGACUACAAGGGAGAAAAGCAGGUUGCACACUGGGAAGAAGGUUCUGGAAGCAGCUCUUGUCCCGGGCAAUAGUGUUGGCAUGGGGAUGCUCUCCUAGAAUGAUCUGGUACAAUCCAGAGUAUGGGUAAAACUUUGCACUGGUGACUAGGAAGGCAACAACGUUCUGGAUAGCUCAUAGGAAAACACCCGCCCUUCUUACUCUAGGGUGAAAAGCCACUGCCCCAGCCUGGACCGCUACCCAGCCUUUUGAACAAUGCCUACCUCAAUCCUUCCAGUUCUUGUCAUCUCCAGUAAUCAAAAAAGAAGGCUUUGGCCAAGCCACCUUCCACCCCAGGUUGUCCAUUGACUGCCCUGGUCAUGAGUGUUAUGGGUACCAUGGGCUACCAGGACCAAGAGUGUUCCAAGUCGCUUCUGUUAUCUUCUGCUUAGGUCAAGCAAAGGAACUCCUGUGAGUAAUUCAUAAAGUACUUAUACUCGAA